RNAcentral lists this ribosomal RNA (254 nucleotides) under uncultured bacterium. RNAcentral's name for it is "partial 16S ribosomal RNA". It matches the Rfam family "Bacterial small subunit ribosomal RNA", at positions 524 to 776 of the family's 1533-position model. The record is from RNAcentral.
UACAGAGGGGGCAAGCGUUGUUCGGAAUUACUGGGCGUAAAGGGCGCGUAGGCGGCCUGUUAAGUCGAACGUGAAAUCCCCAGGCUCAACCCGGGAACUGCGUCCGAUACUGGCAGGCUUGAAUUCGGGAGAGGGAUGCGGAAUUCCAGGUGUAGCGGUGAAAUGCGUAGAUAUCUGGAGGAACACCUGCGGCGAAGGCGGGUUGCGUGGGCUGAUACUGACGCUGAGGCGCGAAAGCCAGGGGAGCGAACGGG